Long non-coding RNA from Drosophila albomicans, 1644 nucleotides. RefSeq lists it as uncharacterized. Lineage: Eukaryota; Metazoa; Arthropoda; Insecta; Diptera; Drosophilidae. The record is from RefSeq and is a predicted model, not a curated record. The transcript is spliced from 2 exons.
CUUGUGCAUGCAUGUAUGUAUUCGUGUGUGUGGGUUUUGUGUAGUUGCCGUCGUCUUGAAACAAAUUUGAUUGCUACUCGUUCGCUUGGUUGCUUCGGCGAUCUGCCUGUCGAUGGAGUAAAGAGAGGGAAUUGGAGAGGAGUUCUUUUGCUAACAACUGCAUUCGCGUAGCACUGCAAACGCAACUUGAGCCGCCGCUGCCGUUUUGCUGCUUUCGUGGACUUCAUCAUCUUUGGGGAUCCGAACGCAGCCGACAAAACCGAACAGAAACGAAGAGGGCCGAAGGCUGAGACGUAGACGAUGGAGCAAUUUAAUGCAAUGACGAGCUUCGGCAUCGCUCUCAGUCGCGGUUUGUUUGCCCAUUUGCCGACGCAGAUAAGAAAUUUGCGAUUGCUGCUGCGACGAAGACGACGACGACGUCGACAACGUCGACGACCAAUUGGGAAAACUAGAAAAGCAACAAUUUGAUUAUCCGGUUCAUUUCCAGGUAUUGCAAGUGCAUGCCUUAUCAGAGAGCAAAGCGAGUGGCAGAGAGCAAGAGAGAGGGGAAAGAGCACAAAAAUGAUCGUGUUCGAUAUCGAAAACUGCGCUUAGAAUUUCGUCCUGUUUGCGAUUGCACAUCGCAACUCAGCGGCUGCUGCCUGUGUUUGGCUUUUGUCUUUGUGUGUUUGUUGCCGGCGAGAACAAAUGGUUGUGUUUCGAGCAGCCAAUGGGCCCAAAGCCAAAGCCAAAGCAUACUCUCGCUCUUGCUCUCUCUGUUGGGCCAAGCGGAGGAAAGAGAGCGAACUGAGGAAUGAACGGGCAGUGCAAAAAAGAAAAAACGCAGAGAAUAUCAAGUCAAAGCGAAGACUGCAAAACAGAAGCACGCGCGGAAUGUGAAAAGUUGGUUCCCAUGACUCCAUGGACGAGGCGCUGUUCAAAGACACCGAAAUUCGUCGUCGUUCGUGGGUUUGUCUGUCGUUUUGUAUUGUCUUGUGUUGUGUCGGAGUCUGCUGCUUUUGCUCCUCUCCUCUCCUCUCCUCUUCCAUCUCGUUCUCGCUCGCUUUGUUGCCUUCUCUGUCGCACCACAGCUGGGGGCAUCGCGAUGCUGCUGCGUUUUGCGGCCAUUCGCAGCUCUGUUGUUGCUUUAUUUUGAGCAGCGUUUAUCAGCGAUUUGGAAGCAUUCAACAUGCUGUUUGCAAAACAUAAAAACAUAUUGAAACAUUUCGCAUUGCGAUAGAAAGAAGCGACAAAAGGAGCAGCAGUGAAAAUGAUGCUGAUCUUGCUAUCGGCGUCAGCAUCAGCAAUAACAUUGCAACUUGGCCGCUCUCGUAGCAUACUUUUCAGCGCACGCCAUUUGCCAUUCCACACACACACACACAUAUACACACACUCUCAUAAACUCACACUGCUCGUUUUUUUGGCCAAGUCAUUCGCGAUUACCUCAAAGUAAAUAUCUCGAAAACAUUUUCAUUACGUCAAUUUGUCGUCGUCAUCUUCAGAGUCUGCUUCGCUGGCUGGCUGCAUGGUUGCGUCUUUGCUUCGUUGGUUGGCUGAUUGCUUCUUAACUUGAUUCUCCAUCUCUAUUCAUAACGCGGCAUAAGAUUUGGCUGGCUGGAAGGAUGCCUGAUGCCUGAUGGCGGUUGGCGGCAUGCGCACGCGGCA